Molecule: ribosomal RNA, 253 nt
Filed under: uncultured bacterium
Lineage: Bacteria
Description: partial 16S ribosomal RNA
Rfam family: Bacterial small subunit ribosomal RNA
Source: RNAcentral
UACGUAGGGGGCAAGCGUUGUCCGGAUUUAUUGGGCGUAAAGAGCGUGUAGGCGGCUUUACAGGUCCGUUGUGAAAACUCGAGGCUCAACCUCGAGACGCCGGUGGAAACCGUAAAGCUAGAGUCCGGAAGAGGAGAGUGGAAUUCCUGGUGUAGCGGUGAAAUGCGCAGAUAUCAGGAAGAACACCAGUGGCGAAGGCGGCUCACUGGCCCGGUACUGACGCUGAGGUGCGAAAGCGUGGGGAGCAAACAGG